Molecule: ribosomal RNA, 332 nt
Filed under: uncultured bacterium
Lineage: Bacteria
Description: bacterial SSU rRNA
Rfam family: Bacterial small subunit ribosomal RNA
Source: RNAcentral
CGUGUAGGCGGUUGGGCAAGUCAGAUGUGAAAGCCUUCUGCUUAACAGAAGAAGUGCAUUUGAAACUACCCGGCUAGAGUACGGGAGAGGAGAGUGGAAUUCCCGGUGUAGAGGUGAAAUUCGUAGAUAUCGGGAGGAACACCAGUGGCGAAGGCGGCUCUCUGGCCCGAUACUGACGCUGAGACGCGAAAGCGUGGGGAGCAAACAGGAUUAGAUACCCUGGUAGUCCACGCCCUAAACGAUGGGCACUAGGUGUAGGAGGUAUUGACCCCCUCUGUGCCGAAGCUAACGCAUUAAGUGCCCCGCCUGGGGAGUACGGCCGCAAGGCUAAA